AUUGAACGCUGGCGGCAGGCCUAACACAUGCAAGUCGAGCGCGCGGCGCACGGGUGAGUAAUGUCUCGGAAACUGUCUGAUGGAGGGGGAUAACAAUUGGAAACGCUAGCUAAUAUCGCACACCCCCUGAUGUGUCCAGAUGGGAUUAGCUAGUAGGUGGGGUAAGGGCUCACCUGGGCGACGAUCCCUCGCUGGUCUGAGAGGAUGUCCAGCAACACUGGAACGGAGACACGGUCCAGACUCCUACGGGAGGCAGCAGUGGGGAAUAUUGCACAAUGGGCGCAAGCCUGAUGCAGCCAUGCCGCGUGUAUGAAGAAGGCCUUCGGGUUGUAAAGUACUUUCAGCGGGGAGGCGUUACCCGCAGAAGAAGCACCGGCUAACUCCGUGCCAGCAGCCGCGGUAAUUC
Molecule: ribosomal RNA, 406 nt
Filed under: uncultured bacterium
Lineage: Bacteria
Description: partial 16S ribosomal RNA
Rfam family: Bacterial small subunit ribosomal RNA
Source: RNAcentral